Molecule: ribosomal RNA, 405 nt
Filed under: Bacillota bacterium
Lineage: Bacteria; Bacillati; Bacillota
Description: Firmicutes bacterium partial 16S ribosomal RNA
Rfam family: Bacterial small subunit ribosomal RNA
Source: RNAcentral
UGAGGAAUAUUGGUCAAUGGGCGAAAGCUUGAACCAGCAACGCCGCGUGGAUGAUGAAGGCCUUCGGGUCGUAAAAUCCUUUUCUGGGGGACGAGUAAGGACGGUACCCCAGGAAUAAGUACCGGCUGACUACGUGCCAGCAGCCGCGGUAAAACGUAGGGUGCAAGCGUUAUCCGGAUUCACUGGGUGUAAAGCGCGUGCAGGUGGUCUCGUAAGUUGGACGUGAAAUCUUCUGGCUUAACUGGGAGAGGCCGUUCAAUACUGCGGGGCUAGAGGGCAGGAGAGGGAGGUGGAAUUCCCGGUGUAGUGGUGAAAUGCGUAGAUAUCGGGAUGAACACCAGUGGCGAAGGCGGCCUCCUGGCCUGCUCCUGACGCUCAGACGCGAAAGCUAGGGGAGCGAACGGG